Molecule: non-coding RNA, 72 nt
Organism: Phrynosoma platyrhinos (Desert horned lizard)
Lineage: Eukaryota; Metazoa; Chordata; Lepidosauria; Squamata; Phrynosomatidae
Source: the annotation of a GenBank genome assembly
GCCAGUGUGGUAUAGUGGUUUGAGAGUUAGACUAAGAUUCUGGAGAUCAGGGUUCAAAUUCCUACUUGGCCA